GACGAACGCUGGCGGCGUGCCUAAUACAUGCAAGUCGAGCGAAGUUUUUCUGGUGCUUGCACUAGAAAAACUUAGCGGCGAACGGGUGAGUAACACGUAAAGAACCUGCCUCAUAGACUGGGACAACUAUUGGAAACGAUAGCUAAUACCGGAUAACAGUAUUUCUCGCAUGAGAGAUAUUUAAAAGUUGGUUAUGCUAACACUAUGAGAUGGCUUUGCGGUGCAUUAGCUAGUUGGUGGGGUAAAGGCCCACCAAGGCGACGAUGCAUAGCCGACCUGAGAGGGUGAUCGGCCACACUGGGACUGAGACACGGCCCAGACUCCUACGGGAGGCAGCAGUAGGGAAUCUCCCGCAAUGGGCGAAAGCCUGACGGAGCAACGCCGCGUGAGUGAAGAAGGAUUUCGGUUCGUAAAGCUCUGUUGUUAGGGAAGAAUGGAUAUGUAGUAACUAUACAUGUAAGAGACGGUACCUAACCAGAAAGCCACGGCUAACUACGUG
RNAcentral lists this ribosomal RNA (499 nucleotides) under uncultured bacterium. RNAcentral describes it as "partial 16S ribosomal RNA". It matches the Rfam family "Bacterial small subunit ribosomal RNA", at positions 28 to 507 of the family's 1533-position model. The record is from RNAcentral.